UACGUAGGGUGCGAGCGUUGCCCGGAUUUAUUGGGCGUAAAGGGUGCGUAGGCGGCGCGGUAAGUCGGGUGUGAAAUCUCGGGGCUUAACUCCGAAACUGCAUUCGAUACUGCCGUGCUUGAGGACUGGAGAGGAGACUGGAAUUUACGGUGUAGCGGUGAAAUGCGUAGAUAUCGUAAGGAAGACCAGUGGCGAAGGCGGGUCUCUGGACAGUUCCUGACGCUGAGGCACGAAGGUCAGGGGAGCAAACGGG
Molecule: ribosomal RNA, 253 nt
Filed under: uncultured bacterium
Lineage: Bacteria
Description: partial 16S ribosomal RNA
Rfam family: Bacterial small subunit ribosomal RNA
Source: RNAcentral